RNAcentral lists this ribosomal RNA (233 nucleotides) under uncultured bacterium. RNAcentral's name for it is "partial 16S ribosomal RNA". It matches the Rfam family "Bacterial small subunit ribosomal RNA", at positions 103 to 334 of the family's 1533-position model. The record is from RNAcentral.
CGGCUGAGUAACGCGUGGGUGACGUACCUGUUGGUGGGGAAUAACUGCCCGAAAGGGUGGCUAAUUCCGCAUAAGUCCUUCGGUUCAAUCUGAAGGGGAAAGCUUCGCAAGAGGCGCCGAUGGAGCGGCCCGCGUCCGAUUAGCUCGUUGGUGGGGUAACGGCCUACCAAGGCGACGAUCGGUAGCUGGUCUUAGAGGAUGAUCAGCCAGACUGGGACUGAGACACGGCCCAG